This 66-nucleotide transfer RNA is filed under the name Philanthus triangulum (European beewolf). Its description in RNAcentral is "tRNA-Pro". Lineage: Eukaryota; Metazoa; Arthropoda; Insecta; Hymenoptera; Crabronidae. The record is from RNAcentral.
CAAAAUAUAGUUUAUUAAAAACAUUAAUUUUGGAGAUUAAAAAAAUGAUUUAAUUUAUUAUUUUGA